GUUAUGGAGCAUCGCAUUAGAGACUUCGAGUAUUGAUCCCUGUUGCUACAAGUCUUCAUGCUAGUGCGGUCAGGGUUGGCUUCUUGCCAGCUUAGAGUUCGGUGAUGAUUUGAAGAUCAAUUUUUUUAAAAAUUUUAAAAAAAUUUAUAUUUAUCGUAAAUUUUUUAUUGGGGAUCUUUCGGUAUUUAAGUUGAUCGAAACUUGAGAAUGAAGAAGAAGAAGAAGAAGAAGAAG
RNAcentral lists this long non-coding RNA (234 nucleotides) under Elaeis guineensis (African oil palm). RNAcentral describes it as "long non-coding RNA (EGUI_LNC029881)". Lineage: Eukaryota; Viridiplantae; Streptophyta; Magnoliopsida; Arecales; Arecaceae. The record is from RNAcentral.